AAGUCGUAACAAGGUUUCCGUAGGUGAACCUGCGGAAGGAUCAUUAACGAGUUAGGGUCUUCCAGGCCCGACCUCCCAACCCUAUGUUUAUUGAACCUCUGUUGCUUCGGCGGACCCGUCUCACGGCCGCCGGAGGACCGCUGAAAGGCGUCCUCUGGCCCGCGUCCGCCGAUGGCCAACCACUCAAACUCUGAAUCAAUCGUGUCAUAUGUCUGAGUCUAUGAUUAAAUUAAAGCAAAACUUUCAACAACGGAUCUCUUGGUUCUG
This 267-nucleotide unclassified non-coding RNA is filed under the name Herpotrichiellaceae sp. RNAcentral's name for it is "partial contains small subunit ribosomal RNA, internal transcribed spacer 1, and 5.8S ribosomal RNA". The stretch from base 1 to 46 matches the Rfam family "Eukaryotic small subunit ribosomal RNA", at positions 1786 to 1831 of the family's 1831-position model. Lineage: Eukaryota; Fungi; Ascomycota; Eurotiomycetes; Chaetothyriales; Herpotrichiellaceae. The record is from RNAcentral.